Molecule: transfer RNA, 68 nt
Filed under: Ceramaster japonicus
Lineage: Eukaryota; Metazoa; Echinodermata; Asteroidea; Valvatida; Goniasteridae
Description: tRNA-Arg
Source: RNAcentral
CAAGGAUUAGUUUAACAAAAACACUUAAUUUCGACUUAAGCAAUUUCGGAAAUACCCGAAAUCCUUCC